Zonotrichia albicollis (white-throated sparrow) is the source of this 9427-nucleotide non-coding RNA. Lineage: Eukaryota; Metazoa; Chordata; Aves; Passeriformes; Passerellidae. The record is from RefSeq and is a predicted model, not a curated record.
GGGAGGGGGGGGGGACCCAAACCCAACACUUCACCCUUUGGAAAUUUGUGCUCAGUCUAAACAAUAGGAAGCCCAUAAUGCAGAUUAUAACACUCACUGACUCGAAUCCAUUAUCUGCCCUCCACACUGUCUAUAUAUUGAUUUCCAUAUACUUUCUAUUGCUCUCAAUGACUGAGCAAAGCUCCAGUUAAGAGCCCGCGACACACAGGAGCGCUGCUUGAACUACAUCUCACCAAUACAAGCCGGAGCCGGUUGUAAACACGAAAUGCUCCCACUUUCCCGGUGUAGCUGCGAACAAGCACACUAGCACCCCUCCAGCCCCGCAAGGGAGCCGGGCAGAGCCAGUGGCUGCCCCGGGCCCCCUCCCGCCUCGGAGAGCGUGCGGGUGUCCCCCGGAGCCGCGGCCGGGAGGACACCCGUGCCCACGGGAGGGAUCCCGGGCUCCCCGUCCCGAGAGCGGGACCGCAGGCGGGGAAGGGGCUCUGGGUCCCCGCGGGGCGGGCAGAGCCGGGGGGCUCAGCUCCCCGCCCGCGGCCCUCGGCCAGCAGCCCCUCUGCCCGAGACCUGAGCUCUUAAUGAGGGAUGGCGGUGGUUUCCUUAACUUUGGGAGCCAACAGAGCAGAACUUUCCCAAGGCAGGAUGCUCCGGACGGUGCACUUAGACGGCGGCAGGAGAGCCUGCACACCCCCCGGGGACAGAGUUUGCCUCCUGAACCACACUUCUCUUACUGAAGAACAGCAGCUCCGACCUCCACACCAACCGGGACUGCCGCUUUGAAGUAGCUGCGAACAGUGCUCCCGUGUCUCAACAUGGUCACGUAGGAGAUUUGAGCCUUUUAAUUUCCAGACACAAGGAAUAACUCCCUCGGAGGGCCGGGCCGGCUUAGGUGGUCGAUUGCUGGGUGUUUUGGUCAGAGUUCUUGAUUUUUUUUCUUUCUAAUAAGACAGCGAGGGAGGAUGGGGUAGGAUUCCCUGGCAGACACAGAAGCCUGGAGGGGAAGAGAAAGCCUGGCCGGGCACAUUUGGCCUCGGGGACCUGCCCGAGCGGCUCUGCUGUCCCGGCGGGACGGCGGCCGGGCCCGAGACCCGGCCCUGCGCGGCAGCCAAGGGCGCGUCGCCCGGUGUGACCUUCAGGGAGCACAUUUCCACUGCUGAGCACCGGGAAAAGUGCUCCUCUCGCUCGCAGGCGCCAUGUUACCGCCGGGAGCCGGGGCUGGGCAGGGGGAGGGCGGGUGAGCGGUUAGUGAGUUUUACGGUUGUUAAUUCAGACUGGACGCGCACUCCAUAAAAAGAGGGGGAAAAAAAAAAGAGUACUUUGGGAUUAUUCUUUUCUUCUUAACCCCCCCCUGCUAUCCUCCCUUUUCCAACCCCCCUCGAGGGGAUGCGCUUUGUAACACUGAUGCCUGCUCUGGGACCCUCCCGAGCAUCCUCCCCCUCCCGCCCGCUGGAAAGGGGGUGAUCUCCGAGGGCUCUCACGGGGACCCUGUCCAAGGCCCCGACACUCGCCUUGCCGGGGGCCCCAGGCACGGCCGGCAGCGCCCGAGAGCUCCCAGCUUCCCCCAUCCUGCCGCUAGCCGGGGAGGGACUGGGAAAACUCCCUCAGCCUCGUUCCCUGAUAGCUAUGAGGUUCAAAAUCAGAAAAUACUCCCAACACCUCUUUUCCCCCGUGCAAAAUGAUUUCCUAAGCAGUGAGUCUGCACUUUGCUGAGCUCUCUGCUCCCUCACUUCUCACAGAGAUCUGCUCCUUAGUCAAGGCGCUCUUUUGUCUUCCCCUCUGCUUUUUUUUUCUUCUUAUUGUGAGAAAAACUAACCAACCCCACCCAGAACCCGACAACAACAACUUCUGUAGCUGUGCAGAAGUGGAGGAAGCAGCGCCGCGAUCGCGGCAGGGACACAGAGAAGCCGGACAGAGCCGCUCCUCCUCUGGGCCGCAGGGCCGGUGCCGUCCUAAGGAUUCAAGUCCUCUCAGGAUUUGGGAACAAAGGCAGUCCAGCCCAGCUCCGCCACGCACGAAUCUCCAUUGUAAUCCUGGGCUUAUCCUUUCCCCCCCUCCCUUUCUUCAUUUGCCCUGUUUUCCAGCCUGCGGUUCCUGAAGGUCAGAUGGAGGGGUCAUAGCUCUGCAUCCCCUAUAAAUAGAUUUUGAUAUUUAGACAGCUAUUGCUACUCGAUAUUAACUUACAGGAUAAUGGCGAGAGAUAUCGUAUGCGCUGAACCUGUUAUUCACGAGUGAGCAGCAUCUGUCGAAUACAAUUCUCGUCUUUUUCCCUAUUUGGCUGUAGCACACAUCAAUAGGGCGAAGGGACGUCUUGAGGCUGGGGCAGGGACGGAGAGCAGGACGGCUCUGCGGGGGCAAAAGUUGCGAGUACAGUGCUGAAACUCUACGAGGACUUAGAGAGCCUAAGUCAGGAGCCAGGUCGGCGCAGACCGGCUCUGAGCAAGUGCAGGACCCAUUCAAGAGCGGCAAAUAUUCCAGCGGGCUUUUGACACUUCACAUUAAAAUAUAAUGAAUGCUGCUGAAGUGAAAGGGUCUCCCCUCCGCACAUUCGCAGCCCGAUUUCCCCUGUUUCUGACUUUUAAAAUCAUGGGUUCCAGGUGGAUCUGGACCAGAGGCUCAGAGCUCACCACUAACCCUUUCUCUGUUUACAGAGUGUUCAAGAGAAGGCAAGGUCUUCAAAUGUGGGCUAUACUUCGAAGGGAACACUAAGAGUUCUCAUUUCCUUUUCACAGAUCCCCUCUUCUGGCUGUUCCCAAAUCCUCUGCCUUUCGCCACCUGCGAGGCAAAAAAGGCCUUUACACUCCUAGGUCCUCUGUCCUGGAUGCCGGCACUUUACUUGGCAGUGCGAUUAAAAUGAAAUUCACGGCCGGGACCCUGGCUGAGGCUUCAGGGCAAGCCCACCCGCAGCCGGGUGCCCGCCUGGAUGCGCCGGUCGGGGUCGGCCAGCGCUUUGGGAGCUGGUAGAACUGGCGGGCAGCGGCCGAGGCCGUGCCCCGCGGGACGGGGAGAGGAGUCUGGCCAGGAUAAAAACACCAUUUCUCCCUCGUUGAGCUGGCUCACGCGUGGGUCCUGCUCCUUCUGCAAAAACGAUUCCCCUUAUAGCUGUCGAGACCGCGGCUCUAGAAACUAGUUGUGAUCAAGAUCUUGUGUAGCAGGAGCGGGAAGUACGCAGGCGUUUCCAUCUGCUUACCUGGGCAUGGAGGGAAGGGAGACAGGGUCGUGAAAGGCGCCGAUUGUGUGUGGAUUUUGAGGUUAAAAAGAGGUAACCUGGGGAAGGGGAGGGAGGAAAGGCACUGAGUGGCUUAAUUUAAUCAAUAAAAUGUCUGAAAUAGUUGUCGAGAUUUGAUUCUCGCGUUUGCUGGUUUAACUUGCCCUGUAACGCUCAUGUGUAACAUCUGGUACUGCGCGUGUACAGCUGCGCUUUGGGGGUGGUGUGCGCUUGAUUUUGAGAAAAGGGAUAAUUGCCAAGGAAGAGAAAAAGAGGCAGUUUUCAGAUGCUGCGACUUCCUAGAGCCUGGCGGGUUUACAACCAGCUCGGCAACAGUGAAACAAACUUGCUGUCAAAGUUUACCGACGCUCAGUGAGGAGGAGCGCAUCUCGCUGCCCGGCCGGGGACCCGCUGGCUUUGUUCCGAGGGCAGCGAAGCCCCGGGAGCUGCCAGGGCUGCCUGCUGUCCCCGGGAGGCAGGCGGGCUGGCCGGAGGGCUGGCGGAGCGCUGUCCCGGCCAGGCAGUGUCCCAGGUUCUCUUCCGGGCCGGCCCGUGGCAGCCGAGCCGCGCUCCGCCCGCCGGGAGCGGCGGCAGCGCUUGUGCCCACCGCCCGACGGAAGGGGCAGACGCGACUUUAGUGGGUGUUUGUACGGCUCGCCUGCGAGGGAAGGCGCCGUCUCUUUUCCCCCUCGGCCUCCUCGGCCCGUCUCUUCUCCCGGGAGCUCCGGAGGGAGCCGGGGGGCCGGCGCUGCACAGCCCGGGCGCACAGGGACGGUGCGGGGGGACGGCGCAGCCCCUCCGGAGCGGCAGCCCCAGGGCUGCAGGGCAGAGAUCUUGUGCUCCCUCCAUCUCGGGGCUCUCUUUGACCCCAUGAGCUGCUUAGGGAGAGCUCUUACGAUAGUUUUUCCAUAAGAAAAAUUCGAGUUAUUGUGAGGUGCGGUCCCCAUGCAUUUUUAACCAUAGUGAUUACUAAAUUAAUAGCAGGCCCUAAGACAGAUGUCAAAACGUCUUGAAAAUGUUUAUCUGUGAAUAAUUGAGAAGGUGGUAAGACGCAUUAUCUGAUUGUAUAAUGAAAUAUGUAUGAGGAACAGCUGUUUGCAAUAGUCACCUCCCGUUGUUUCAUUAGCCUAGAGCCUCCUCUUUAAAGAAGCGCUUCCCUGAAGCUGGCCAUUCAGCCUCCGCCGCUUCCACCGGCGCCGGCGCCCGAGCCGGAGCCACAGCGGGGAGAGGCGAACCCGGGGCUGUCCCCAGGCCGGUCACGGGCCCUCCCCGCGGCAUUUCUCACUGCUGCUCCGCUCCGAGGGCGGGAGGGAAGAGGAGCGGAUGGGGUCCGAAGAUGUCCUGUUGGGCAGUCUUAGCCUGAAGAGGACGCCCUGAGAGGAAGGAUCCUAGAUGCUCAUCUCGGAAGCACAGCAAACAGCCAUUUAUUAAGAUUUCAUGCCAAGCAGCGAUGCCUCGACUGCUUAGCGUUGACAUAAACUUCCAGACGUCGAGCAUAUGCUGUUGCACAGCAUUGUUUAUGUGUGGUACCAGAUGUUGCUUUGCAUCCUAUUGUCUAGAGACAAUGUUUAGCUCAGGUUAAAAUAUCUUUACUUAAACUGCUCAGUUGGCCAUUGUGUGAGCAUUAGUGAAGUGUCAUGGAGAGGUAAUGGGAAGUCCGGGGAGGUUAGCUCUCCGAGCAUGGCCAGAAGGUCCCUGGUUCAUGGUGGGGUUACAGCCACCACUGUCAUCUUUUGUUUUCCCUCCUCAGAGAACCCUUGUCCUUCCUCUAAAAGGAUGUGCCCCGCUCUCAUUCCCUUCGGAGUUUUCUCCAGCGUUUCAUGAAGCGGCCCGAUGUUUGUUUUUCCAGUUCCCCUAAAUCGCCCCAAAGAGGAAAGCAAAGCACGCUCCUGCGUCACCGCCACCCCAGCCGGGCCGGGCCGGGCGGAGCGGGGAUGCUGGCGCCGGGGGGAACCGGGCCCGGGAGCAGAGUUCACGCCCGAGCCAAGCAGGCGGCUCCCUCCCCCCGAAACGCCCGGCCGAGCCUCCUUCCCUCCUUCCCUCCUUCCCUCCGUCCGUCCGGGCCGGCGCAGCCCCCUCCCGCCUGGAGCCUUUUCUUCCCUUUAACCCCGCAGUUUGGGCCGGCCGCGGCUGCUGACCUGUGGCAGGACUUUUGCUCCGGGAGAGAGGGGAAAAAAGCUAUAGACUUUAAUCGGAUUUCUCCCCAAACACUCGUGCCCUACACAUUACAGUUCAUCUGUAAAGAUACUGCUUCAGAGGGACCUGUUGCACACAGUGAUGAAUAGAGUGAAGACUGGUACAAAGAAAAUUCACUGUAUAAACAUCCUGCCCAAGAAAGGAAGGUUCACCCAUACUCCAUCUACAGGAUUUAGUCCUUUGUAGCCACAUACAGUAUGCGACAGAACAAUUUGGAAAAGAUUCAUCUAUCAAGUUUAACAACUUUCUGGUGUAACUUCAGAGAGGUUUAUUGCUUAUUCAUGUGGAAGACUGACCCUGAACCUUGCAGGCCUUGGAAGAUUUUCUGUCCUCAGGGAAUGUGAGGAAGUGUGGACACAAAGGGAGAGACUUGAAGUAUUUCUCCAGGAAGAAAAGAUGUAAAUAUUUUUGUAUAUUGGCUGACGAUUUUUAAAGAUUUUACUAAAUAGUAUGGUUUUAUUACUUCUAAUAGUAGAAAAACAAGCUGUCCUAGGAUCACAGUUGUUACACAUUUCCUCAGAUUAUCUUUGUUGGAAACCUCAUUUGAGAUAAGACAUUCUUCUUUUCAGCGGUAUAGCUCCUGUUAAGUUAUUAUAGAAUUAAGGAAAUGAUGAUUUUAUUGUUAACAAACAGUAAAAAAUAAUCCAACAUUUUCACCACAUUCAAAAAUGCUGUAGAACUGUUGAUGGAAGUGUGUUAUUCUUGCUUCUAGACAAAGAAUAUCAUAAAAGAUUGUUUAAUAUGAAAAUUCACCUUUCCCAAUUAUAUGUAUUUUCAAACCUACAGUGUAUUCAGAGUAUUUUGUGUAGCUUCUCUGCUCUGAAAAAUCCAUGGAUAAAUUUUCACGGAGAAAGUUAGAUAUAGAUGAUGCAGAUAUAGCUAUAUCUAUUUUUCUUUUAGGUGAAAGUGGCAGCUGAACAAAGCCUGUUCUCUCAACGAAGCAGCAAAGCAGUAGUAUAGGGCCAGGGCUGGAAGUCCUUCUGCUGUAAAUCCACACCAAUCCAACUAAGACCAAGCACUUGUGAAUAUUAAAUUCACACUAGUGUAGCUGAGAGUAGAAAUGGCCUUUGUUUUUGAAACCUUUGGAGUCUGAAGUGAAAAAAAAAAAAAGGAGCAGGGUUUAACCUUUAAACCUUUCACUGACCUUUAAGCAGUACUUUGGAUUAUAUCUGCCCUUGUUAAUCUGAAGCCACUUGCAAACAUAACUGGCAUUCCUGUUUUUUAAGUAUACUCUACGUACAUUAUAGAAUGGGUUAGCAAUUGAAAAGUUUGGCUCCUGUUCAUUGUGUCUUUAUCAGCUUUUAAAGUGAUGCUUAUCUUUGUAAACAAAAUUUCAUAGUAAGCAGCAACACGAGAAAUGCUUUGUGUCAAAAUACAUCAUGUAAAUGAUGGCCAGGCUUAGAUCUGUACUCUUGAAAGGGCAAAUCCAUGUGUUGAUCAAGACAAUAAAUUUUGUAGAAUUCCUGUAUUAAUGUAGAACUCAACAAGGACCCGUUUUGUUGGCACCUCUUUCUAUCACAGGUGAGUAGAAACUUCUGCAGCAUCUGGCCAGACCAUUAUUUUUCCUUCUUUGGCUUUUCUUUCUUUCUUUCCCACUAUUCACAUCCCUGCUUUACAUGCACUUUUUUCUCACAUACCUUCCUCAUACAUAUCUUCAUUUUGGUCUAUUAAAUCCAAACUACAGGUACAGAUGACUUUAAAUGAACCAUGAAUUUAUCUUGGACGAGAUCUCACUGUUCUCAUAAUCUAAACAGAGUUUAAUUAACACUAGAAACAUCUACUUCUUGAUAUAAAUAAAAUAGUCUACAACUGGUGAUUGUAAUUUUCCCUUUUCAUUCACACAAUGAUUGCAAAAUGUCUUGCCAUUCACAUGGAAAUUUUCUUCUAAGUACGUCUGUCUUUAGUGGAACAAUGUCAUGGGCAGAGCACAAAUUUAUAGAGGAUGUAUAUGUUUAAGAAACAGCAGCUAUUUCAUAUUCUAUGUCUAUCAUUUGAAUCAAGAAUUUUCCUGCUGGAUUGUUACAGUAAUACAGAGGAACUGAUGCACUGCCCCUUACAUUCAAGCUACUUUUCAAGUGCAGAAAUACUGGCCUUAGAAAUUGACAAAAUUACAGACAAGUUAUUUUACCUUGAAGUAUGAAAUGCUGGAAAUUGCUGAGACAACUUAGCACAGUAGAGACAGUCAGGCUGAAUCAGUGUGAGGAACACCACUGUAGGUUUAGAAGGAUAAACACAUGGGAUUUGUUUUCCUGAAAAUUUUACCAGGACUUGACAUUGUAAAGACAUUGAGUGUCAUAGGCUUUUAAAGAAAUGAAGAGUUGAUAUGCUGAGAGCAAACACUGAAAGGCCUUGUGAUGUAGCUGGUGAAAAGCACCUGUUUUUUAUGGUGGAUAUUUAUUUGAAUAUGAAAAGUACUAUACAUUUCUUUUAUCAUCUCCUCAUCUCUUGCUGUUGCAUGUUGGAGAAUUACUAAAUCUCCGGAGAGGGAUCAGAUCUGUAAAAGUUGUCAGUUGUUAAGACAAGGUAUUCAGUGAAUAAAUGAAUUAUUGUACUGAAGUCCUUUAUUGAAUACUCCUGUGUCACUGCUUUAGUUAAAUAUCAAGAACAUAGGCAUUUAACAAUAUUACUUUAAAUUCAAAAUGCCUUGAAAGUACUGAGAUUCAAUUUGCAAAUGUAACCAAGAAUAAAACAUGUGCCUUGGAUUACAUGUCACUUCUUGGGAUGUUUUGACAUAACGCAUUUAGAAAAUACUUUCCUGUGACAGAAAUGAGUAAAAUAAAUUUCAGUUAUCUGUGACUUCUAACAGUCCAGUUCUUGGUUAGUUUGUUCUCUGCAUCACAGCAAGCUGACAUGCUCACUUGUGCAUCAGUGUGGAGGCCAACUGCUUAAGGCUAAAGUGCUAUUGUGCUCCUUGUGUGAAUAAUCCUGUUAGCAGCAAGGGAAUACAGGCAUGGAAAAAGCAAAAAAUGGUCACAAGUGAGAAAUAACCUGACUUCCUUCUCUUUUCUAGAGAUGAUCUGUGCAGUGUUUUUAGACAGAUCUCUUGUAUGAUGGUACCAACAUCUUCAAAGACUCCAUCUUUUUAUCUCCUCUCAGGGGUACCAAAAUCACUCCAGCUCUUCUAUGAAGAGCUUAGAAAAUACUUAGAAAAGUAGAUAAGCAAAUCCAUUCAAUAAUCUGUCCUCUUCAUUUCCAAAAUACUGGUACCAAGAUAGAAAAGGCAAGGAUGUACAGGGAGGUACUUUUGUCUGUGUCUUUCAUGAAAACACGCUUACUCUAGAAAUUCAGUAUAUAAGGACUACACCAUUAUUCCCAAAGAGCAAGCAUGUCAUAAUGGAAAAUAUACACCAGAAAUUUAGUAUUAAAUCUGCUUUUAUUUAAUAUAGUUAAAUUAGCUACAGCUUCUCAGUAUAGAAUUUUAGUAUUAUGUGCAGUAUGACAUUAAAAAAUUAAUCCAAGUGGAGAAUUCUUACUAUAGAGUUAUGCUCAAAUUUCCCACUCAUAUAUGUGGGACUUGCAGAAAUCCAAGAAUGGUGGUUUUGGGUUUACUAACAAAAUGUCACAAUUAAACAUAUCCAGGAGGUCAGGUAACACUGCCUGUAACCUUAUAGUAUGCUAUGUUAAUAGUAACAUUUUCAGAACAGCAUGAUUAGUUCACUGAUCAUAUCACCUGCCCACUCAUCUAGGCCAGGCAAAUACUAAAAUCAAAAAAAGAUUGUUACUUUUUGCAGUGUACAUGUUCUUAGCGCAUGAUGAGAGGAUUGUGAAGACAGUGAUGGAACAUACAUCAAAAACCUGUUGCCUCAUGCUCUGUAACACAUUUGCUGUACCAGGAAUGAAACAGAGAGAAGGAAUUUGGUUGCUGGAAUUAUGAAACCCAGAACCUGGUUCUAUAACCUGCUGAUGAUAUUGACUUCUGUUGUCAUUUGGAUGUGGUUACAUAUUCACUGUCUUAAUUAAUAGUUAUGGAUGUUGCAUGACAUGGUGUUAACACCCUAUCUGAAAAUAAAAUAAGUACUGACACGUCAA